This 82-nucleotide transfer RNA is filed under the name Dictyopteris divaricata. RNAcentral's name for it is "tRNA-Leu". It matches the Rfam family "tRNA". From Rfam's summary of the family: Transfer RNA (tRNA) molecules are approximately 80 nucleotides in length. Their secondary structure includes four short double-helical elements and three loops (D, anti-codon, and T loops). Lineage: Eukaryota; Phaeophyceae; Dictyotales; Dictyotaceae. The record is from RNAcentral.
GCUUCUAUGGUGGAAAGGGUAGACACGUCAGAUUCAAAAUCUGUUGUCGUUAGACAUAUCGGUUCGAGUCCGAUUGGGAGUA